RNAcentral lists this long non-coding RNA (252 nucleotides) under Capsella rubella. RNAcentral describes it as "long non-coding RNA (CRUB_LNC001719)". Lineage: Eukaryota; Viridiplantae; Streptophyta; Magnoliopsida; Brassicales; Brassicaceae. The record is from RNAcentral.
CGGGGAAGACCGGGUGAAACCCCUGGUCAAAUAGAAAUAUCUAGCGUUUUCGUAUUUAAGGAAAAACGAUCUUUGACCUAUACCAACAGGGAAACUCCUCACUCAAGUGGAAAUUACCAGACCAAAACCACUUGGUUGUAUUUUUUUUAGAAAACUUAUUUUCAGUUCAUAUAUACGAUUAACGAUAUUUUUUACCAUUCAUAAUAUUCAUGGUUUUCACGUUGUUGGCCAAAACUUAUAGUGAGACUCGAC